RNAcentral lists this unclassified non-coding RNA (238 nucleotides) under Glomeraceae sp. Its description in RNAcentral is "partial contains 5.8S ribosomal RNA and internal transcribed spacer 2". The stretch from base 1 to 72 matches the Rfam family "5.8S ribosomal RNA", at positions 84 to 154 of the family's 154-position model. Lineage: Eukaryota; Fungi; Glomeromycota; Glomeromycetes; Glomerales; Glomeraceae. The record is from RNAcentral.
GUGAAUCAUCAAAUCUUUGAACGCAAAUUGCACUCUCCGGUUUUCCGGGAGAGUAUGCCUGUUUGAGGGUCAGCCUAAAAAAAAUCGACAUUGUUGCUGUUAUUUAAUGGUGACUUUCGUCGGAGAUUGGGUUAUCUUAAACCUUUUUUUUUUUUUUUGUUUAAGCGAUUUAAAAUUUUUUUUCACGUUUCCAUUAAGGUUUUAAAUUUUUUUAUUUUUUAUCUGUUUUAGGUUUAUC